GGCUGGUUAGCUCAGUUGGUUAGAGCGUGGUGCUAAUAACGCCAAGGUCGCGGGUUCGAUCGCUGUACGGGCCA
Molecule: transfer RNA, 74 nt
Filed under: Ornithorhynchus anatinus (platypus)
Lineage: Eukaryota; Metazoa; Chordata; Mammalia; Monotremata; Ornithorhynchidae
Description: tRNA-Ile (AAT) (tRNA-Ile-AAT-8-1)
Rfam family: tRNA
About the family: Transfer RNA (tRNA) molecules are approximately 80 nucleotides in length.
Source: Rfam by way of RNAcentral